RNAcentral lists this ribosomal RNA (1664 nucleotides) under freshwater metagenome. RNAcentral describes it as "bacterial LSU rRNA". The stretch from base 344 to 1664 matches the Rfam family "Bacterial large subunit ribosomal RNA", at positions 1 to 2467 of the family's 2925-position model. The record is from RNAcentral.
UUCCCAGUCACGAUACCUGCGGCUGGGGUAUUCUUUCAUCUAGAGGAGUUGCAUUCUGUGACAGAAGGAAUCAAGCAAGGGCUUGAAGAGAAUGGCGUAUUUGUUGUCCAGUUUCUCUACAUGAAGAGCAUUAUGGAAAACAAUGCUUUCGAUCAAAUCUACCAUGAGCACCUCCUGUACUACACUCUCGAGACUAUUCAGAAACUUUUGGGGCGUCACGGUCUUGAAAUGUUUGAUGCCUUUCUUUCGCCAAUACAUGGUGGGCAAAUGAUUGGAUAUAUCGGGCAUCCUGGAGUACGCGAGAAAACAGGGCGCUUAAUCGAAAUCGAGAAAGAAGAAGUCUUGUCAGGCUGUAACGCAAAAAAAGCAUACAUUGAAUUUGCAGAACGUGUGGAACAAAUCAAGCAUCGCGAUCUGGAAUACUUGUCUCGGAAACGGCGCGAGGGGAAGAGAAUUUUUGGGAUGGGGGGUGAGUCAGGACCUAAGGCGAGGCCGACAGGCGUAGUCGAUGGACAACGGGUUGAUAUUCCCGUACCGGCGAAGAACCGACAAAACCAAAUUGGUAAUGCUAAGUCAGCGAAUUGCAAUCUGAAGCCUUCGGGUGGAGGGUUGUAGCUAGUCGACGAACCUAAUCUGAAGCGGUAACACAGGUGUGACGCAGGAAGGUAGCCUCCGCGGGGCGAUGGUUGUCCCCGUUUAAGGAUGUAGGGCGAGAGAUAGGCAAAUCCGUCUCUCACAUGCCUGAGAUCUGAUGAUGAGUCCGCAAGGACGAAGUGGGUGAUCCUAUGCUGCCAAGAAAAGCAUCGGUGUGAGGUUCUAGCUGCCCGUACCCGAAACCGACUCAGGUGGUCAGGUAGAGAAUACCAAGGAGAUCGAGAGAAUCGUGGUUAAGGAACUCGGCAAAAUGGCCCCGUAACUUCGGGAGAAGGGGCGCCUGAGGUGUGUAACUCAUACGAGUGAAGCACUGUAUGGCCGCAGAGACCAGUGAGUAGCGACUGUUUAACAAAAACACAGGUCCGUGCGAAGUUGCAAAACGAUGUAUACGGACUGACGCCUGCCCGGUGCUGGAAGGUUAAGAGGACUGGUUAGCAGCAAUGCAAAGCUAGGAAUUUAAGCCCCAGUAAACGGCGGUGGUAACUAUAACCAUCCUAAGGUAGCGAAAUUCCUUGUCGGGUAAGUUCCGACCUGCACGAAUGGCGUAACGACUUCUCAGCUGUCUCAACCACGAACUCGGCGAAAUUGCACUAUGAGUGAAGAUGCUCAUUACGCGCAGAAGGACGAAAAGACCCCGUGACCUUACUAUAACUUGGUAUUGGUGUUCGGUGCGGCUUGUGUAGCAUAGGUGGGAGGCUUUGAAGCGACGGCGCCAGCUGUCGUGGAGCCAUAGGUGAAAUACCACCCUGCUGUUUUCUGAUAUCUAACCACGCACCGUUAUCCGGUGUUGGGACCCUCUGUGGCGGGUAGUUUGACUGGGGCGGUCGCCUCCUAAAGAGUAACGGAGGCGCGCGAUGGUAGGCUCAGGACGGUUGGAAACCGUCUGUUAGAGUGCAAUGGCAUAAGCCUGCCUGACUGCGAGACUGACGAGUCGAGCAGAGACGAAAGUCGGUCAUAGUGAUCCGGUGGUCCCUCGUGGAAGGGCCAUCGCUCAACGGAUAAAAGGUACG